Molecule: unclassified non-coding RNA, 416 nt
Filed under: Hevea brasiliensis (rubber tree)
Lineage: Eukaryota; Viridiplantae; Streptophyta; Magnoliopsida; Malpighiales; Euphorbiaceae
Source: RNAcentral
GGACUACAAGCGGGUCGGUAUUCGGGUAGAAGUCGACCCGAUUUGAACCGGACGCCGCAAGCGUUGCAGAGAGUUUUUGCUCCGAGGGGGCCGGUUCUCCACUGGGGAGUUUUCUGGACUCCGCAAUGGCUGCACCGCCGAGGCGGCUGGGCUCCGAUGGUGGUUUUGGACUUUUCUGACGGCGACUUUCUCCUUGGUUUCUUCGAGACCGGAAUUUCCGGUUCGAAACGGUCGGAUAUGAUGAGCCAAGGACUUGCCGGCGACGAUGAGGAGGACGACGUUGUGGAACAGGAGGAUGACUCGGUCAACGACGGUGAACCAAGGCACCAAACUCGACCGGUGGUUCUCGUCCGUUUGCUUCUAGCCUUCACCGGAAUGGGGGUCUUGAAACAGGGGUCCGGCGGCGAAACGGGACC